ACAAAGAUACCUCCCAUCUACCAGUUGACUUCCCAAAUGCCCACUGAAACCAGGAGCCAGGAACUCAAUCUGGGUCUUCCAGAUGGGUGGACAUGACCCAACCACUUGAGUCAACAUUGUCUCCCAGAGUACACAUCUGCAGGAAUCUGGAAUCAGGAGUGGAGCAGAGACAUAAACCCAGAGUUACAGAGAGAGGGCGAGAGACAGAGAUCUUCCAUCUGCUGAUUCACUCACCAAGUGGCCACAACACUGGAACUGGGUCCAUCUGAAACCAGGAGCCAGGAGCUUCGUCUGGGUUUCCCAUGUGGGUGCAGGAGCCCAAGAACUUGGGCCACCUUCUGCUGCCUUCCCAGGCUCAUUAGCAGGGAGCUGGAUCAGAAGUGGAGCAGCCGGGACUCGAAGCAAAGCCAAUAUGGGAUGACAGCACAACAGGUGCUGUGGUUUAACCCACCACACCACAGUGCCAGCUUCUGCUGACUUCUUAAGAGCUACCCAACAGAGCUCUUUUCUGAGGAUGUAAUGGGACCAUCAUACGUGAAAACGCCUUAAGGUGAGAGACCGUUUAU
Lepus europaeus (European hare) is the source of this 566-nucleotide long non-coding RNA. RefSeq lists it as uncharacterized. The record is from RefSeq and is a predicted model, not a curated record. The transcript is spliced from 3 exons. NCBI's taxonomy places the organism in Eukaryota, Metazoa, Chordata, Mammalia, Lagomorpha, Leporidae.